UACGGGGGGGGCAAGCGUUGUUCGGAAUUACUGGGCGUAAAGGGCUCGUAGGUGGCCAACUAAGUCAGACGUGAAAUCCCUCGGCUUAACCGGGGAACUGCAUCUGAUACUGGAUGGCUUGAGUUCGGGAGAGGGAUGUGGAAUUCCAGGUGUAGCGGUGAAAUGCGUAGAUAUCGGGAGGAACACCUGUGGCGAAAGCGGCGCACUGGACCACUACUGACGCUGAGGCGCGAAAGCUAGGGGAGCAAACGGG
This 253-nucleotide ribosomal RNA is filed under the name uncultured prokaryote. RNAcentral describes it as "partial 16S ribosomal RNA". It matches the Rfam family "Bacterial small subunit ribosomal RNA", at positions 524 to 776 of the family's 1533-position model. The record is from RNAcentral.